This is a long non-coding RNA of Wyeomyia smithii (pitcher-plant mosquito), 1464 nucleotides long. RefSeq lists it as uncharacterized. The record is from RefSeq and is a predicted model, not a curated record. Lineage: Eukaryota; Metazoa; Arthropoda; Insecta; Diptera; Culicidae. The transcript has 2 exons.
UGAAGAGGGGUAUAUCUGGUGCGAUACAAAGCCUGUUGUCAUCAUCUAGUGGCCAGAGUAUCAGCAGUACAGUGGAAGUGUGACUAGCCGCGUGAAGAAGGUUACGAGUCAUAAGUGCAGUUGACUGUGAAUAAUGCACUAAACAAACAUGUGAAAAUGUUACAAGUUAUUAAUUCAUAAAAAUGAGUGCUCUUUGGGAUCGUUGCGGAAAAAACCGGAAAUAAUGCAAUGCCGUUUUUUUUUUGAAUUACAAGCUCUGUAUAAAAAGUUAAAUUCACUGGCUCAAUUGUAAAAAAAUGCUCACGGGUAUGCCACUUUCACUCUCCAUUAACCACCCGGCGACGACCGACGACGACCGGCCGACAGUGCAACGUCGGAAGCGUGGCGUCCUUGUUGCUUCAGAUGUGUGAGUGCAUGCAAAGUUAUGCUUAUGCAUGCCAUGCUGACUGGUGCGAAAUUCCACGCGUCACAUGAGUUUGGGGGGAAAAUACAGGUGGAAAAAGUAGUUCAACAACAUCCAAUUGGUUUGUUUUAGUGAAACCACUAAUUCUCUUUUUUUAAUUUAUAGUAUGUAUGUUUGCUGCUUGGUAUAUUGUACAUAUAUAUAAUUAGCCUACCGCCAGAUUUUUUUAUCAAACUAUUGUUUGAAACUGUAUAAAAAAUAGAAUAAAACGCAAAGGGCGAUUUUCAAAUUGGUAGCGUAGCUGAAUAGUUAGUUUUUGUAAUGCUAGUAUACUGAAGACUCGAGUUAUGAACUUUUUUAAACAUUAGCAAUCUCUAAUUCUGCAUUUUGCAUCGUCAUCAAAUUAUUAUUGAAUAUUGAGAAUACUACUCAAACCUCAAAUGUUGUUCAAGAAUUUAAAAUGUAUUAAACAAAGAUUUGUUAGUUACAAAGAAAUAAUGAAAUAAGUGAUUAAAAGUGUGAUUGUAUAAUCCUUCUCUCGAUAUUUAGGUCGGAAAUCCAAGCGUAAAGAAAACUUAUCAAAACUUUUUCAGAACAGAUGAACUCAUGUUGCGUGUUUGUGUGUGUAUUCAGGAACGCAAUUGAAACAAGAUCUAAAAAAAUGUGAAAGUAAGAAAACUCGAUUUUUGUUAAAUUGCUCCAACAGGGCUAAAAAAAAGUAUCAAUUAUCAGUUUAAUCUAAAAUGGAUAGCUAUAGAAUCGAGCAUGUUUUUUGAAAGUUCAUCGAAAAUUUUACAAAGCCUAUUUCUGAAAUACUAACCGAGAAACCAGUUCAUCUCACGCGUCUGUUUUUUACCAAAGGUAUUUGAUAAUAUAAUUGAUAUAUGGUAUAGAUAGAGUAACUAAGUUCAAACUGGCGUCUUUCUUAUUUUUAAUGACUAUAAUGCAAGUCAAGCUAUUUUUAUUUCUAUUUCAAGCAGUAACUAUGGAGUAGACGAUUGGAAAAUGUACUAACUGGGAAAUUAGUUAAUUAGAAAUUUAUGAAAAAUAUAGUCCAGCAA